This 582-nucleotide ribosomal RNA is filed under the name uncultured bacterium. Its description in RNAcentral is "bacterial SSU rRNA". It matches the Rfam family "Bacterial small subunit ribosomal RNA", at positions 960 to 1533 of the family's 1533-position model. The record is from RNAcentral.
CGCGAAGAACCUUACAUGGGUUUGACAUGUACGGAUGCUCCUUCCGAAAGGAGAGUAGGCUGCUUCGGGUGAAACGUACACAGGUGCUGCAUGGCUGUCGUCAGCUCGUGCUGUGAAGUGUCGGGUUAAGUCCCUUAACGAGCGAAACCCUUGUCGCUAGUUACCAGCGGGUCAAGCCGGGGACUCUAGCGAGACUGCCGGCGUUAAGCCGGAGGAAGGUGGGGACGACGUCAAGUCAUCAUGGCCUUUAUAUCCAGGGUUUCACACGUGCUACAAUGGGGUGUACAAAGCGACGCAAAGCCGCGAGGUAGAGCAAAUCGCAGAAAACAUCCCCCAGUUCAGAUUGGGGUCUGCAACCCGACCCCAUGAAGUUGGAAUCGCUAGUAAUCGCGUAUCAGCCAUGACGCGGUGAAUGUGUUCCUGAGCCUUGUACACACCGCCCGUCAAGUCAUGGGAGCUGGGAGUUCCCGAAGUCGCCGCAUCACUGCGGUGCCGACGGAAAGCCUGGUGACUGGGACUAAGUCGUAACAAGGUAGCCGUAGGGGAACCUGCGGCUGGAACACCUCCUUCUAGACUGCAGAA